Non-coding RNA from Chaetomium fimeti, 95 nucleotides. The record is from the annotation of a RefSeq genome assembly. Lineage: Eukaryota; Fungi; Ascomycota; Sordariomycetes; Sordariales; Chaetomiaceae.
GCGGGUUUAGCUCAGUUGGGAGAGCGUCAGACUGAAGUAAAACUUCGGUAGAAUUCAUUAUCUGAAGGUCAUGUGUUCGAUCCACAUAAACCGCA